This 22-nucleotide microRNA is filed under the name Ornithorhynchus anatinus (platypus). RNAcentral describes it as "oan-miR-1340-3p". Lineage: Eukaryota; Metazoa; Chordata; Mammalia; Monotremata; Ornithorhynchidae. The record is from miRBase by way of RNAcentral.
UGCUGUCCUUUGUAUUAGGAGA